AAUGGGCGCAAGCCUGAUCCAGCAAUGCCGCGUGUGUGAAGAAGGCCUGCGGGUUGUAAAGCACUUUCAGUGGGGAAGAACGGGCCAAGGUUAAUACCCCUGGCUUCUGACGUUACCCACAGAAGAAGCACCGGCUAACUCCGUGCCAGCAGCCGCGGUAAUACGGUGGGUGCAAGCGUUAAUCGGAAUCACUGGGCGUAAAGCGCACGUAGGCGGCACGUUAAGGCAGCUGUGAAAGCCCUGGGCUCAACCUGGGAAGGGCAGUUGAUACUGACGCGCUCAAGUCUGAGAGAGGGGGGUGGAAUUCCUAGUGUAGCAGUGAAAUGCGUAGAGGUGUGGAGGAACACCGAUGGCGAAGGCAGCCCCCUGGGUCGACACUGACGCUCAUGCACGAAAGCGUGGGGAGCAAA
This 410-nucleotide ribosomal RNA is filed under the name uncultured bacterium. RNAcentral's name for it is "bacterial SSU rRNA". It matches the Rfam family "Bacterial small subunit ribosomal RNA", at positions 370 to 772 of the family's 1533-position model. The record is from RNAcentral.